This 254-nucleotide ribosomal RNA is filed under the name uncultured bacterium. RNAcentral's name for it is "partial 16S ribosomal RNA". It matches the Rfam family "Bacterial small subunit ribosomal RNA", at positions 524 to 776 of the family's 1533-position model. The record is from RNAcentral.
UACGUAGGGUGCAAGCGUUAUCCGGAAUUAUUGGGCGUAAAGGGCGCGUAGGCGGUGCGGUAAGUCACCUGUGAAAUCUCCUGGCUCAACUGGGAGCUUGCAGGCGAAACUGCCGUGCUGGAGUGUGGGAGAGGUGCGUGGAAUUCCUGGUGUAGCGGUGAAAAUGCGUAGAUAUCAGGAGGAACACCUGUGGCGAAAGCGGCGCACUGGACCACAACUGACGCUGAGGCGCGAAAGCUAGGGGAGCAAACAGG